UGAAGAAUAUUGGGCAAUGGGCGAAAGCCUGACCCAGCAACGCCGCGUGAGGGAAGAAGGUUCUCGGAUUGUAAACCUCUGUCCCAUGGGACGAACACAAUGACGGUACCAUGGGAGGAAGCCCCGGCUAACUACGUGCCAGCAGCCGCGGUAAUACGUAGGGGGCAAGCGUUGUCCGGAAUUAUUGGGCGUAAAGGGUGCGUAGGCGGCCUUUCAAGUCGGAUGUGAAAUCCCCGUGCUUAACAUGGGAAUUGCAUUCGAAACUGGAGGGCUUGAGUGUGGAAGAGGUAAGUGGAAUUCCCAGUGUAGCGGUGAAAUGCGUAGAUAUUGGGAGGAACACCAGUGGCGAAGGCGACUUACUGGGCCACAACUGACGCUGAGGCACGAAAGCGUGGGGAGCAAACAGG
Molecule: ribosomal RNA, 407 nt
Filed under: uncultured bacterium
Lineage: Bacteria
Description: bacterial SSU rRNA
Rfam family: Bacterial small subunit ribosomal RNA
Source: RNAcentral